Molecule: ribosomal RNA, 459 nt
Filed under: uncultured bacterium
Lineage: Bacteria
Description: partial 16S ribosomal RNA
Rfam family: Bacterial small subunit ribosomal RNA
Source: RNAcentral
CCUACGGGCGGCAGCAGUGAGGAAUAUUGGUCAAUGGCCGUAAGGCUGAACCAGCCAAGUAGCGUGAGGGAAGACUCCCCUAUGGGUUGUAAACCUCUUUUAUGCGGGGAUAAAGGGGUCCACGUGUGGAUGUUUGCAGGUACCGCAUGAAUCAGGACGGGACAAUUCCGUGCCAGCAGCCGCGGUAAUACGGAGGUGCCGGGCGUUAUCCGGUUUUAUUGGGGUAAAGGGGUGCGAAGUCGGAGGCCCAAGUCCGCGGGAAAAUCCGGGUGCGCAACCCCGCUCCGCCGUUGAAACUGUGUCCCUUGAGUGCGCGAAGGGUAGGCGGAAUGCGUGGUGUAGCGGUGAAAUGCGUAGAUAUCACGCAGAACUCCGAUCGCGAAGGCAGCCUACCGGCGCGCAACUGACGCUCAUGCACGAAAGCGUGGGUAUCGAACAGGAUUAGAUACCCUAGUAGUC